Molecule: ribosomal RNA, 449 nt
Filed under: uncultured bacterium
Lineage: Bacteria
Description: partial 16S ribosomal RNA
Rfam family: Bacterial small subunit ribosomal RNA
Source: RNAcentral
GUGGGGAAUCUUGCGCAAUGGGCGAAAGCCUGACGCAGCAACGCCGCGUGCGGGAAGAAGGCCUUCGGGUUGUAAACCGCUGUCAGGAGGGACGAAGCCACUCGGGUGAAUAGCCCAGAGGGUGACGGUACCUCCAGAGGAAGCCCCGGCUAACUACGUGCCAGCAGCCGCGGUAAUACGUAGGGGGCAAGCGUUGUCCGGAAUCAUUGGGCGUAAAGCGCGUGUAGGAGGCUUGCCAAGUCCGGUGUGAAAUCUCGGGGCUCAACCCCGAAACUGCAAUGGAAACUGGCUUGCUAGAGUCCGGAAGAGGAGAUUGGAAUUCCUGGUGUAGCGGUGAAAUGCGCAGAUAUCAGGAAGAACACCCGUGGCGAAGGCGGAUCUCUGGGACGGUACUGACGCUGAGACGCGAAAGCGUGGGGAGCGAACAGGAUUAGAAACCCGUGUAGUCC